CGGAGCAACGCCGCGUGAGUGAUGAAGGUUUUCGGAUCGUAAAGCUCUGUUGCCAGGGAAGAACGCUUGGGAGAGUAACUGCUCCCAAGGUGACGGUACCUGAGAAGAAAGCCCCGGCUAACUACGUGCCAGCAGCCGCGGUAAUACGUAGGGGGCAAGCGUUGUCCGGAUUCACUGGGCGUAAAGCGCGUGCAGGUGGCGCGGUAAGUUGGGCGUGAAAUCUCCCGGCUCAACUGGGAGAGGUCGUCCAAUACUACCGUGCUUGAGAGCAGAAGAGGAAGAUGGAAUUCCCGGUGUAGUGGUGAAAUGCGUAGAUAUCGGGAGGAACACCAGUGGCGAAGGCGAUCUUCUGGUCUGUUUCUGACACUCAGACGCGACAGCUAGGGUAGUAAACGGGAUUAGAGACCCCGGUAAUCCUAGCCGUAAACGAUGUGAACUUGGCGUUGGUGGGUUAAACUCCAUCAGUGCCGUAGCAAACGCGAUAAGUUCACCGCCUGGGGACUACGGCCGCAAGGUUA
RNAcentral lists this ribosomal RNA (518 nucleotides) under uncultured Chloroflexota bacterium. Its description in RNAcentral is "bacterial SSU rRNA". It matches the Rfam family "Bacterial small subunit ribosomal RNA", at positions 387 to 896 of the family's 1533-position model. The record is from RNAcentral. Lineage: Bacteria; Bacillati; Chloroflexota.